RNAcentral lists this transfer RNA (69 nucleotides) under Oreodytes abbreviatus. Its description in RNAcentral is "transfer RNA-Leu". The record is from RNAcentral. Lineage: Eukaryota; Metazoa; Arthropoda; Insecta; Coleoptera; Dytiscidae.
UAUUAUUAUUUUGGCAGAUUAGUGUGAUGAAUUUAGAAUUCAUUUAUGUAAGAUAUCUUACAAGUAAUA